This 555-nucleotide ribosomal RNA is filed under the name uncultured bacterium. Its description in RNAcentral is "bacterial SSU rRNA". It matches the Rfam family "Bacterial small subunit ribosomal RNA", at positions 372 to 916 of the family's 1533-position model. The record is from RNAcentral.
UGGACGAAAGUCUGACGGAGCAACGCCGCGUGAGUGAUGAAGGCUUUCGGGUCGUAAAACUCUGUUGUUAGGGAAGAACAAGUGCUAGUUGAAUAAUCUGGCACCUUGACGGUACCUAACCAGAAAGCCACGGCUAACUACUUGCCAGCAGCCGCGGAAAUACGUAGGUGGCAAGCGUUAUCCGGAAUUAUUGGGCGUAAAGCGCGCGCAGGUGGUUUCUUAAGUCUGAUGUGAAAGCCCACGGCUCAACCGUGGAGGGUCAUUGGAACCUGGGAGACUUGAGUGCAGAAGAGGAAAGUGGAAUUCCAUGUGUAGCGGUGAAAUGCGUAGAGAUAUGGAGGAACUCCAGUGGCGAAGGCGACUUUCUGGUCUGUAACUGACACUGAGGCGCGAAAGCGUGGGGAGCAAACAGGAUUAGAUACCCUGGUAGUCCACGCCGUAAACGAUGAGUGCUAAGUGUUAGAGGGUUUCCGCCCUUUAGUGCUGAAAGUUAACGCAUUAAGCACUCCGCCUGGGGAGUACGGCCGCAAGGCUGACUCUCAARGAAUUUGACGG